AGUCAUAUGCUUGUCUCAAAGACUAAGCCAUGCAUGUCUAAGUAUAAAUGAUAUACAGUGAAACUGCGAAUGGCUCAUUAAAACAGUUAUAGUUUAUUUGGUAAUCGAAUUUACAUGGAUAACCGUGGUAAUUCUAGAGCUAAUACAUGCUGUAAAGCCCGACUUCACGGAAGGGCCGUAUUUAUUAGAUAACAGACCAAUAUUCCUCGUGUCUAUUGUGGUGAAUCAUAGUAACUAAUCGGAUCGCAUGGGCUAGUCCCGCGACAAACCAUUCAAGUUUCUGCCCCAUCAGCUUUCGAUGGUAGUGUAUUGGACUACCAUGGCUUUUACGGGUAACGGAGGAUUAGGGUUCGAUUCCGGAGAGGGAGCCUGAGAAACGGCUACCACAUCUAAGGAAGGCAGCAGGCGCGUAAAUUACCCAAUCCUAAUUCAGGGAGGUAGUGACAAGAAAUAACGGGUCGGGGCUCUGCCCCGGGACUGCAAUGAGAUGAAUUUACACCCCUUUUCGAGUAACAAU
Molecule: ribosomal RNA, 517 nt
Filed under: uncultured eukaryote
Lineage: Eukaryota
Description: SSU rRNA
Rfam family: Eukaryotic small subunit ribosomal RNA
Source: RNAcentral